Non-coding RNA from Pelobates cultripes (western spadefoot toad), 360 nucleotides. The record is from the annotation of a GenBank genome assembly. Lineage: Eukaryota; Metazoa; Chordata; Amphibia; Anura; Pelobatidae.
CUAGUCUCCCAGUGUCCCCUAGUCUCCCAGUGUCCCCUAGUCUCCCAGUGUCUGUGUUCCCAUGUCUGUGUCCCUAGUGUCUUAGAGUCCCCAAAUGUUUCAGUGUCCCCAUGUCUCCCAGUGUCUGUGUCUCAGUGUCCCCAUUUCUCCCAGUUUCCCUAAAUGUCUCAGUGUCCCCAUGUCUCCCAGUGUCCCCAUGUCUCUCAGUGUCCCCAGUAUCCUAGUGACAUGGGGACACACUGAGACAUUGGGACACUGGGAGAAAUGGGGACACUGGGAGAAAUGGGGACACUGACACUGUGAUACAUAAGGACACUGAGACACUGGGUGACUUGCGAGACUGAGACACUGGGAGACAGG